AGUGAACGCUGGCGGUAGGCCUAACACAUGCGAGUCGAACGGCAGCACAGUAAGCGCUUGCUCUUACGGGUGGCGAGUGGCGGACGGGUGAGGAAUACAUCGGAAUCUACUUUUUCUUGGGGGAUAACGUAGGGACACUUACGCUAAUACCGCAUACGACCUACGGGUGAAAGCAGGGGAUCUUCGGACCUUGCGCGAUUGAAUGAGCCGAUGUCGGAUUAGCUAGUUGGCGGGGUAAAGGCCCACCAAGGCGACGAUCCGUAGCUGGUCUGAGAGGAUGAUCAGCCACACUGGAACUGAGACACGGUCCAGACUCCUACGGGAGGCAGCAGUGGGGAAUAUUGGACAAUGGGCGCAAGCCUGAUCCAGCCAUACCGCGUGGGUGAAGAAGGCCUUCGGGUUGUAAAGCCCUUUUGUUGGGAAAGAAAAGCAGCAGGUUAAUACCCCGCUGUUCUGACGGUACCCAAAGAAUAAGCACCGGCUAACUUCGUG
Molecule: ribosomal RNA, 492 nt
Filed under: uncultured bacterium
Lineage: Bacteria
Description: partial 16S ribosomal RNA
Rfam family: Bacterial small subunit ribosomal RNA
Source: RNAcentral